Molecule: ribosomal RNA, 1644 nt
Filed under: Triticum aestivum (bread wheat)
Lineage: Eukaryota; Viridiplantae; Streptophyta; Magnoliopsida; Poales; Poaceae
Description: partial small subunit ribosomal RNA
Source: RNAcentral
AUGCUUUCAUGGAAGAUGAGUAGUUCAUCACAUUACAGAAGCCCGCGUUUUGACAUGGUGAACAGACCCCUAGAGGAAUGUAACGCUGGGGUGGCCGCCAUGGAGGAGGUCGUGAGCAAUCCUGUCUCGCUCCUUGUCGGCCGCUGCGGACAGCACUGGAUUGGCAGCGGCGACCACGUCGGCAUCGUCCUGCUGGGAGAGUUCGGACUGGAUGUCGGCGUCGAACUCCUCGCCGCUGCGUUCGCAGAAGUUGUGCAGCACGCAGCAAGCGCCGAUCAUGUUGUGGAGGUCCGGCAGCUUGGGCUCCGUGCGGCGCUGCAGGCAGCGCCACCGCCCCUUGAGCCUCUGGAAGGCGCCCUGUGCUGCUGCGCGCGCGGCGGCGAUGCGCUCGUUGAAGGCGUGCUGCGCCCAUGUCAGGUUCUGGUGCGCGUACGGCACGAGCAUCCAGUCCGUGAGCGGGUAGCUCGCGCCGCCCACCAGCCGGCACUGGUCGUCUCCGAGCAUGCCGGUCUCGCAGCGGGAGUGCAGCGCGGACCUCUCGAGCACGGCGGCGUCGGACAGCGAGCCAGGGAGGCCGAUGCACACGUCCGUGAAGGCGCCGUCAGCGUCCACGACGGCCUGCACGGCGACGGAGUAGGAGGCCUUGUUGUUCCGCUCCGUGAGGCGGCGGUUGUAGUACUCGGCCACGUCGUCCUUGGGUGGGCCGAUGGGGAUGUGGUCGGUGUAGACGGAGCCGAUGACGCCGGGGAUCCCGGACAGGGCCUGGAACCUGGCGGCGGGGGAUUCCAGUGGCCAGCGGACGGCCUUGGGCAGGAGAACGGCGGUGAGGGCGGCGCAGACCUGGAGGACGAUGUUAUGGCAGGUGGAGAUGCCGAGGCCGAAGCGACGGGAGACCUCGCGGAGGGGCUCCCCGGUGGCGAGGCGCCAGAGGCAGACCGCGACGCGCUGGUGCACGGGUAUGGCAGCACGCAGCGCGGUGUCCUCCUUGGCGACGGCGGCGCUGAGCUCGUCGCAGAGCGCGUCGAAGGUGGCGCGCGACAUGCGGAAGGCCUGGCGGAACUCGGCGUCCGGGCACGCCGGGCCGCUGAGGCGGUCCCACCACUCCGUGCUCCGCUCCCUCACCCACACCCGCCGGCCCCCGCUCCUUGCCGCUGGCGCAGCGUCGCCGCCGCUGUGGGCAGGCGAGGUGGGCGGCGAACCCUGCACCUUCCUCCUGACCGCCUGCGGCCGCGACGAGCCGUCGUCUCCCGCGGGGACGAAGCCGCGCUUCCUUCCUUGACCAGUCAUUUCCGCUGGUGGCGCCACCACCGGCGGUGGCAACGGCGCGGCGGCGUGUCCGAAGAAGGCUGGCGCGGCCUCGGCGCCGCCGUAGUAAGGGAAGGCGUCGGGCGCGGCGGCGAGGUCGUCGUUCAUGAGGAAGGCGAGGAGGGAGGAGUGGUCGUCGGCAGCUGCUGGGCCGUCGAAGAGCGAUGGAAGAGGGGUGAAGGGCGUGAGGUAGGUGCUCAUGAUCCGAUCGGUCUCGUCGAGUCUUGGCUGUCGGAGCUAGCUCGAUCGGCGGCGGCACUCCGAAGUACAGUACUGGCAGUCGGGUGCUUCAGUGAGACGCGGGAUGAGGAGGAUGAUCGAGGAGGAGGAGAUGGUUGA